AGGCAUCAAAAAGAUGAACACGAAGCACUUAGCCCAUAUUUAUACAUUAGACAUCAAAGUCACAUACAUGUGAAAUCAUGCAUCAACACAACAUAUUAGCUAAUUUUUUUCCCCCUUGGCCGAAUAUGCAUGUCUAUUUUUGGGGUCGAUUUCAACACUUAAUACACACAUAUACACACUAGUAAAGCAUCCUCCCCCUUUCCAUCAAUUUAACACAUGCAUUGCUCAUUAACAUGCAAAGUU
This 243-nucleotide long non-coding RNA is filed under the name Gossypium barbadense (sea-island cotton). Its description in RNAcentral is "long non-coding RNA (GBAR_LNC006527)". Lineage: Eukaryota; Viridiplantae; Streptophyta; Magnoliopsida; Malvales; Malvaceae. The record is from RNAcentral.